Molecule: ribosomal RNA, 253 nt
Filed under: uncultured bacterium
Lineage: Bacteria
Description: partial 16S ribosomal RNA
Rfam family: Bacterial small subunit ribosomal RNA
Source: RNAcentral
UACGUAGGGGGCUAGCGUUGUCCGGAAUCAUUGGGCGUAAAGCGCGUGUAGGCGGCCCGGUAAGUCCGCUUUGAAAGUCGGGGGCUCAACCCUCGAAUGCCGGUGGAUACUGUCGGGCUCGAGUACGGAAGAGGCGAGUGGAAUUCCUGGUGUAGCGGUGAAAUGCGCAGAUAUCAGGAGGAACACCGAUUGCGAAGGCAGCUCGCUGGGACGUUACUGACGCUGAGACGCGAAAGCGUGGGGAGCAAACAGG